CAGGAAGAGGUCAAAAACACAGCAGCUACACAGAUACUCAGCAGGGAAGCGAUAACCCUGAUUUUUCUCAACUUGCAAACCAUCUUGGCAGCGUUGUUGAAGAACAGAUCCAAUCUGUGGAUACAGUGAAUGGUGAAAUACACAGGUGAGUUGAUAUAUGAAUGUGGGAAAUCCAUCAAGUUUACAGCAAAACAAAAGAAAUUAAAACACCAGGCUGGAGAAAGGGAUGAAAAA
Molecule: long non-coding RNA, 234 nt
Organism: Lates calcarifer (barramundi perch)
Lineage: Eukaryota; Metazoa; Chordata; Actinopteri; Centropomidae
Exons: 2
Source: RefSeq, a predicted model, not a curated record